Molecule: ribosomal RNA, 300 nt
Filed under: uncultured Lactobacillus sp.
Lineage: Bacteria; Bacillati; Bacillota; Bacilli; Lactobacillales; Lactobacillaceae
Description: bacterial SSU rRNA
Rfam family: Bacterial small subunit ribosomal RNA
Source: RNAcentral
GCGAACUACUGGCCAUCGGAGCCGGUAAUCGGUAGGGGGCAAGCGUUGUCCGGGUUCAUUGGGCGGAAAGAGCGGGUAGGCGGCCAGGUAGGUCUGUUGUGAAAACUGGAGGCUCAACCUUCAGAGGUCGACCGAAACCAUCUGGCUAGAGUCCGGGAGAGGAGAGUGGAAUUCCUGGUGUAGCGGUGAAAUGCGCAGAUAUCAGGAAGAACACCCGUGGCGAAAGCGGCUCUCUGGAACGGUACUGACGCUGAGACGCGAAAGCGUGGGGAGCGAACAGGAUUAGAUACCCUGGUAGUC